Molecule: ribosomal RNA, 320 nt
Filed under: Bacillus cereus
Lineage: Bacteria; Bacillati; Bacillota; Bacilli; Caryophanales; Bacillaceae
Description: bacterial SSU rRNA
Rfam family: Bacterial small subunit ribosomal RNA
Source: RNAcentral
UUUAUUGGAGAGUUUGAUCCUGGCUCAGGAUGAACGCUGGCGGCGUGCCUAAUACAUGCAAGUCGAGCGAAUGGAUUAAGAGCUUGCUCUUAUGAAGUUAGCGGCGGACGGGUGAGUAACACGUGGGUAACCUGCCCAUAAGACUGGGAUAACUCCGGGAAACCGGGGCUAAUACCGGAUAAUAUUUUGGACCUCAUGGUUCAAAAUUGAAAGGCGGCUUCGGCUGUCACUUAUGGAUGGACCCGCGUCGCAUUAGCUAGUUGGUGAGGUAACGGCUCACCAAGGCAACGAUGCGUAGCCGACCUGAGAGGGUGAUCGGC